AGUGAACGCUGGCGGUAGGCCUAACACAUGCAAGUCGAACGGCAGCACAGUAAGAGCUUGCUCUUACGGGUGGCGAGUGGCGGACGGGUGAGGAAUACAUCGGAAUCUACUUUUUCGUGGGGGAUAACGUAGGGAAACUUACGCUAAUACCGCAUACGACCUACGGGUGAAAGCAGGGGAUCUUCGGACCUUUCGCGAUUGAAUGAGCCUAUGUCGGAUUAGCUAGUUGGCGGGGUAAAGGCCCACCAAGGCGACGAUCCGUAGCUGGUCUGAGAGGAUGAUCAGCCACCCUGGAAGUGAGAAACGGCCCAGACUCCUACGGGAGGCAGCGGUGGGGAAUCUUGGACAAUGGGGGAAAGCCUGAUCCAGCCAUACCGCGUGGGUGAAGAAGGCCUUCGGGUUGUAAAGCCAUUUUGUUGGGAAAGAAAAGCAGCAGGUUAAUACCCCGCUGUUCUGACGGUACCCAAAGAAUAAGCACCGGCUAACUUCGUG
Molecule: ribosomal RNA, 492 nt
Filed under: uncultured bacterium
Lineage: Bacteria
Description: partial 16S ribosomal RNA
Rfam family: Bacterial small subunit ribosomal RNA
Source: RNAcentral